Molecule: small nuclear RNA, 165 nt
Filed under: Nothobranchius furzeri (turquoise killifish)
Lineage: Eukaryota; Metazoa; Chordata; Actinopteri; Cyprinodontiformes; Nothobranchiidae
Description: U1 spliceosomal RNA (ENSNFUG00015013853.1)
Rfam family: U1 spliceosomal RNA
About the family: U1 is a small nuclear RNA (snRNA) component of the spliceosome (involved in pre-mRNA splicing). Its 5' end forms complementary base pairs with the 5' splice junction, thus defining the 5' donor site of an intron.
Source: Rfam by way of RNAcentral
AUACUUACCUGUAAGGGGAGAAAUCAUUUUCACGAAGGUGGUUCACCCAGGGCGAGGUUCAGCCAUUGCACUCGAGGUUGUGCUAACUCUUGCGAAUUCCCCAAAUGUGGCAAUCUCGACUGCAUAGUUUCUGGUAGUGGGGGACUGCGUUCGCGCUCUCCCCUG